This 253-nucleotide ribosomal RNA is filed under the name uncultured bacterium. RNAcentral's name for it is "partial 16S ribosomal RNA". It matches the Rfam family "Bacterial small subunit ribosomal RNA", at positions 524 to 776 of the family's 1533-position model. The record is from RNAcentral.
UACGUAGGGUGCGAGCGUUGCCCGGAUUUAUUGGGCGUAAAGGGCGCGUAGGCGGCCACGCACGUCCGUUGUGAAAUCGCCCGGCUCAACUGGGCGGGGUCAGCGGAUACGGUGUGGCUCGAGCAAGCUAGGGGGCAAUGGAAUUCCCGGUGUAGUGGUGGAAUGCGUAGAUAUCGGGAGGAACACCAGUGGCGAAGGCGGUUGCCUGGAGCUUUGCUGACGCUGAUGCGCGAAAGCCAGGGGAGCAAACGGG